CGCGUAGGCGGCUUGUCAAGUCAGGCGUGAAAGCCCCGGGCUUAACCUGGGAACUGCGUUUGAGACUGACGAGCUUGAGUUCGGGAGAGGAGAGUGGAAUUCCCAGUGUAGAGGUGAAAUUCGUAGAUAUUGGGAAGAACACCGGUGGCGAAGGCGGCUCUCUGGACCGAUACUGACGCUGAGGCGCGAAAGCGUGGGGAGCAAACAGGAUUAGAUACCCUGGUAGUCCACGCCGUAAACGAUGUGUGCUAGACGUUGGGGGGCAUAGCCUUCCGGUGUCGUCGCUAACGCUUUAAGCACACCGCCUGGGGAGUACGGCCGCAAGGUUAAA
Molecule: ribosomal RNA, 331 nt
Filed under: uncultured bacterium
Lineage: Bacteria
Description: bacterial SSU rRNA
Rfam family: Bacterial small subunit ribosomal RNA
Source: RNAcentral